RNAcentral lists this ribosomal RNA (324 nucleotides) under uncultured Desulfobulbus sp. RNAcentral describes it as "bacterial SSU rRNA". It matches the Rfam family "Bacterial small subunit ribosomal RNA", at positions 1056 to 1382 of the family's 1533-position model. The record is from RNAcentral. Lineage: Bacteria; Pseudomonadati; Thermodesulfobacteriota; Desulfobulbia; Desulfobulbales; Desulfobulbaceae.
CAGCUCGUGUCGUGAGAUGUUGGGUUAAGUCCCGCAACGAGCGCAACCCUUGCCUUUAGUUGCCAGCAGUUCGGCUGGGCACUCUAAAGGGACUGCCGGUGUUAAACCGGAGAAGUGGGGAUGACGUCAAGUCCUCAUGGCCUUUAUGACCAGGGCUACACACGUACUACAAUGGCCGAUACAAAGGGCAGCGACACUGCGAGGUGAAGCCAAUCCCGUAAAAUCGGUCUCAGUCCGGAUUGGAGUCUGCAACUCGACUCCAUGAAGUUGGAAUCGCUAGUAAUCGUGGAUCAGCAUGCCACGGUGAAUACGUUCCCGGGCCUU